CCUACGGGGUGCUGCAGUGAGGAAUAGUGGUCAAUGGCCGGAAGGCUGAACCAGCCAUGCCGCGUGAAGGGCAGGGCCCUAUGGGCGUUAAACUUCUUUUGUGCGGGAGCAAGAAUGGGCACGUGUGGCCAGACGAGAGUACCGUAGGAAUAAGCAGCGGCUAACUCCGGGCCAGCAGCCGCGGGAAUACGGGGGAUGCAAGCGUUAUCCGGAUUUAUUGGGUUUAAAGGGUGCGUAGGCUGUGAGGUAAGUCAGCGGGGAAAUGCCCCCGCUCACCGGGGUGAAGUGCCAUUGAUACGGCCUUGCUGGACUGCGGAUGCCGUGGGCGGAAUGUGUGGUGUAGCGGUGACAUGC
RNAcentral lists this ribosomal RNA (354 nucleotides) under uncultured bacterium. RNAcentral's name for it is "partial 16S ribosomal RNA". It matches the Rfam family "Bacterial small subunit ribosomal RNA", at positions 338 to 689 of the family's 1533-position model. The record is from RNAcentral.